CCUCCUCUGGACUUGCUCCCAAAGGUCCCGGUCCUUCCUGUGCUGGGGACCCCAGAGCUGGAUGCAUUACAGUCAAGUUCUUGUUUUCCAGGGUAAUGCCAAGUAAUAUGCUCACUACAGAACAUGGUGAAGAGCAGUUUGGAGGCCCACCUGGACACCUUAACAGUGUAUCUUGCACUACACUGAAGCAAGGGAAGAAGGAAAUAUCCAUCCUGUUCUAGAGUCAAGAUACUUUAUAAAGCAACUUCCAUAAUCUAAUGUUAGCCACGGAGCACAGAGGAGGUAGUUACUCCUAAGUCAGCACACAAAAGUUUAGAUUCCAUGAACUGAUGAACGUCUGCUAGUGAUACAGCUUGAAUGACUCUUUGUAGUUUGCCCUAAUUCUACAAGUCUAUGUAUAAAUUUUUCUCAUUAUAAUCUACAUUCUCUCUGUACCAUUGCUGUCUUCUGCUGUCUCCAGGUAUUUGUAAGGAUUUUAACAAGGACAAAUGUCAGAUUCCGCACCUGGGAUUGGGCAGCCCCACAUGUAUGGACAAACUGGGGAACAGGACACUGGAGAGCACCACUGGGGAAAGGAACCUGGGGAUCCUGGUCUACAGAAAGUUGGAUAUGAGUCACAAGAGGGCCAGCUGUGUCCUAGGGGUCAUCAGGCCCAGCAUCACCAGCUGGGCCAAGGCAGGAAUUGUCCUGCUCUGCUCUGCUCUGCUCUGCACUGGGGUAGCCUCACCUUGAGUGCUGGAGGCAAUUCUGGGCGCCCCAAUAUCAAAAGGGUAUAAAGCUAUUAGAGGACAUCUAAAGGAGAGCAACAAAUAUGGUGAAGGGUCUUGAGAAGAUGCCCUGCAAGGAGUGGCUGAGGUCACUUGGCUUGCCCAGCCUGGAGGAGAGGGUGACUGAUAGGUGUAGUCAUUUAGGAAUGGUACUCUCCAAUUUAUUGCUUCCACUGAAACCGUGCACUCACUGUCCUUCCUUCCCACCCUACCCUACCACAUGGUGGGCUAGAGAGGAGAACAGGCAGCACAAAAGCUGUGGGAACCUGAGCAGUGGAAAAGAAGGGUUUGAAAAGCAUCUGCUGAAGUGUCCUGGGUUAAACACUACCCUCAUCCUGGGCUUCUCUCACUUGUGCAGAGGAUUUCAAGCUAAACAGGAAAGCAAGAUUUCCUUACCAUUUGGUAUUCUUACCUCAGUGUAUGCUCUCUCUGCUACAGCUCAAUCCAGUUAGCUUGAGUCACAGGAAAGCAUUUCUGGAGAUUUUAGAGGAGUACUGCCUUAGCAUGGAAAUGUUCAAAAGACUUUUAGAUGAGGCACUGAGAGAUGUGGUUUAGUGGUGGGUUUGGUACUGUGGGGGCAACAGCUGGACACAAUGGUAUUAGAGGUCUUUUGAAACCUAAAUGAUUCUGUGAUUCUACCUGCACAAGUGACAAGAAUUCAGAAGUUCCUCAAAACAAGCAAAUUGGAAAGGGUCAUAGUCUCAGAAAGGAAUCAAUGAUGUUUAUAUUGAGACUGUAUUGCAGGUACAAUCAAGACACGUGUUGUGACACUGAUACAGUACUCAACAAAAUGUACUCCAAGAGUUUAUCUCAUGAGAAAGCAAAAUUGUUGAGAUCCUUCUUGUUUUGCUGUCAUAAGAAAAAAGAAAAAAAGCAUAAUUGGGUAAAAAUGACAUGUCCUCUAGAUGGUGAGUUCUGUUUUGAUUGAGGAAAUUAAAUGCGGGAUCAGAUAAGGGCUAGUGAAACACCUCUCUUCAAUUUUCAGCUUGGUCAUAUGGGAACUCUUGUCCAGUGGAGUGCACAAAAGCCUGGAAAUACCUGGAAAUACAUACCUGCUGCUACUGAAAGUUCAGCUGUUCUUGUCAGGUGGGAAGGACUUACCAGGACCUAUGUGGUGAUGGAAACUUGGAGAACACCAAACCAAGGAGUGAGGGAAACAGGAGUUUUAAGCUGUAAUUGGAAAAGAUAGGAAAUAGCGGAAGAGAGGGGAAAACUUGGCAUUGAAUGAAUGAAGACUUCGGCAGAAAUAACACCCAAAUUAAGUAAUGAAGAGUAGAAUAACUAACAUCUAUCUGCAGCCUCCUGGAAACAAGCUGUUAACACACCUGAUUUGCACAACUUUCUGCUCUGAAAACACUAAGCAAAAAAAUAUGUGGCUAAAAAGGCAGGAUUCUGAGAUCAAGACCACAACUUAAGCUGUCUAGUACCUGAGCCACUAUUAUUUAUUGUGGUCUUCUUUCUUCACUUUGUCAUAUCAUGACUUUGAUGCCCAAUUUGGAAUUUUCUAAGGAUGGUCUGAACCAGUACUAGAUCUUCAGCACAGAGACAGAGGCUUUUCCAAUCUUUAAUACUUUGUUUCUCUGCCUAAAUAAUUUUAAAGACCUUCCCCAAGUAACUAAAAAUUUCAUUUCUCAUACUGUCCCAUAUUAUCCCUCAUAUUAUCAUUUGAGGAUUAAUAUUAGGAUUGUUCGUCAUGUGUCAUCUGAAUAUACCUGUUGAGAUGUUCAUUCUCCAGAGCUCAGAUCAGUCUUCUGGCCCAGGGUCUGCAUGCACACUGUCCUUCUUGCUGCCAGCAUGGAGUGUGACCUACCAGCAUGACCUGGGGAACUUUAGCGUGUCCCUUUAUUUCCUGGCUACUCUGUCAGCCCCAUGUAUCCACCAGCAGCUCAGAAAUUGGCCUGAAUCAAAAAAUUGGUUGUGAAUCAAAAUAACACUAAAGACAUGCCUGCAGCCCUCAUUUCUGCUCUGCGAAGCCUGCCCAGCUGUAACUAAGAACCAUAGCUCGCACUAUGGAAAAUGCAUAGUCUUUCCUGCCUGGUUCUUGGGGUGUUUAAAGAAAUGUUAAUGAAUAAGUGCUGUGCACUUAUGCAAAGCAGGAGAUUACCACACCACGCUGCAUGAAUAAGGGAAUCAUGCCAUGAUGUAGUAUGGGCCAAGAGCCACGGAGUGGAUUCAUUAGUACCACUAAGUGGAGACUAUCACAUGGGUCUUGUUCUCAGUCUUGCACACUAAAUCCCCAAAGCGUGAUCUUCUGUUUGAACAGUAGAUACACACUGCCCAAAAAAACCUGUUACG
Long non-coding RNA from Cyanistes caeruleus (blue tit), 3062 nucleotides. RefSeq lists it as uncharacterized. The record is from RefSeq and is a predicted model, not a curated record. NCBI's taxonomy places the organism in Eukaryota, Metazoa, Chordata, Aves, Passeriformes, Paridae.